This 244-nucleotide ribosomal RNA is filed under the name Lacticaseibacillus paracasei. Its description in RNAcentral is "Lactobacillus paracasei partial 16S ribosomal RNA". It matches the Rfam family "Bacterial small subunit ribosomal RNA", at positions 1 to 215 of the family's 1533-position model. Lineage: Bacteria; Bacillati; Bacillota; Bacilli; Lactobacillales; Lactobacillaceae. The record is from RNAcentral.
UUUAUAUGAGAGUUUGAUCCUGGCUCAGGAUGAACGCUGGCGGCGUGCCUAAUACAUGCAAGUCGAACGAGUUCUCGUUGAAUCUCGGUGCUUGCACCGAGAUUCAACAUGGAACGAGUGGCGGACGGGUGAGUAACACGUGGGUAACCUGCCCUUAAGUGGGGGAUAACAUUUGGAAACAGAUGCUAAUACCGCAUAGAUCCAAGAACCGCAUGGUUCUUGGCUGAAAGAUGGCGUAAGCUAU